CUGAAAACGUUAGUUGCUCCAACAGGUCGGCGGUCCACGGGCCAAAGGAACGGAACGCAGGACGUGGACAACGAUGACUUGCAUUUCCAUUCUUCCAUUCCACUUCCGGAUUCUCCUGCUGUUGCAGGUCCUGGUGGCCUACGCAUCUCCCAGAGCGGGGCACCCGUGCGAUGGUAUCGAGGGAACAUACGAUGACUGGAUAGACAUCGCGGCCUCCAAGGAGGUCGUCAUUGUAGGCUGAGGAAUGGCCGGUCUCUCCGCCGCAAAGAAGCUCCUACAAGAAGGUGUCAAAAAUCUCGUUGUACUAGAGGCGCAGGACUACUUGGGGGGCCGCGUAAAGACUUAUCGG
This is a long non-coding RNA of Macrobrachium nipponense, 349 nucleotides long. RefSeq lists it as uncharacterized. NCBI's taxonomy places the organism in Eukaryota, Metazoa, Arthropoda, Malacostraca, Decapoda, Palaemonidae. The transcript is spliced from 3 exons. The record is from RefSeq and is a predicted model, not a curated record.